This 1042-nucleotide long non-coding RNA is filed under the name Salmo salar (Atlantic salmon). RNAcentral describes it as "lncRNA (ENSSSAG00000088659.1)". The record is from RNAcentral. Lineage: Eukaryota; Metazoa; Chordata; Actinopteri; Salmoniformes; Salmonidae.
CUCGUAGUAAGCAUUUCACUUUAAGGUUGUAUUCGGCGCAUGUGACUAAUAACAUUUGAUUUGAUUGGUUAACUCCGCUGUCUUCCGGGUAAAGCGAGCAGUGUGUCAAGAAGCAGCGCGUCUUGGCUCUCGACCUUUGCAGAGUCCAUAGUGGAGUUUCAGCGAUGAGACAGGAUCCUAUCUACUGAUUGUAUAUCACGAAAAAGGCGGUAACUCCAUGGCCAGAAAAGUUUGAAAACAUUGGCCAUGCUGUCAAUCCAGCAAUACUUCUGCCGCGUUCAAAACAACUGGAAACUCAGAACUGCAAAAUCUCAGACUUCAGUGAGUUCAAGACAAUUGGGAACUCGGAUAAAACUAGCUCCUACUGGGAAAAUACGUAAAAUAAUUUUGAGCGGUCAUCCAACUCAGAAUUCCAAGUUGGGAUUUAGGGACUCUUUCUAGAGCCCACAAGAAGGACCGCUUCGCCACCUUCCUGUUCAAGUGAGCACAGCACAACAAGGAGCUGGCUGGCGCGUCUAUUUUAAGUGGUCAUGAAACCCAAUGGCGUGUAAUGGACAGCUGGAACUUGGCGUCGGAUUUCUCCCAGAAUCCUUGGUCGCCGGGCCACCACGCCUCACAUGCGAAUCCCUCAGAACUCUAACUUGUGGGGAAGAAAGGAGAACAAAAGCAACAUUACGACUCCCUCUGGUCAAAGCACCAAAACCCUUCAUCAAGUUCUGGAAGGAGCACCAGUCCAGUCCAUGGCAAAGGGCUGCAGUAGCCUACCCCUGGGGGCUGAGAAGGCCCAAAUCCUACAGAGUCAUUACUCUAAAUUAGCCCUUUCAGAGCCAGUCAGAGCCUAAGCAUCCACUCACACUCACUGCAAUGUGCUGGACCUGGGCCACAGCAAUGGAGAGAUGGGGUAGUCGCCAAACCAACCACCAACCGCCCAAAUCACAGUUUGAUCCCUCCAUUAUCACAUUAACCCUGGCUAAUUGGAAAAUACGGGUUCCCCUGAGGGGCGGGGGGGGGGCUGGGUGGCCAGGUCUUAUCAUACAGAAAC